UGGGGAAUAUUGCACAAUGGGCGCAAGCCUGAUGCAGCCAUGCCGCGUGCGUGAAGAAGGCCUUCGGGUUGUAAAGCACUUUCAGCGAGGAGGAAGGUGGUGAACUUAAUACGUUCAUCAAUUGACGUUACUCGCAGAAGAAGCACCGGCUAACUCCGUGCCAGCAGCCGCGGUAAUACGGAGGGUGCAAGCGUUAAUCGGAAUUACUGGGCGUAAAGCGCACGCAGGCGGUUUGUUAAGUCAGAUGUGAAAUCCCCGGGCUCAACCUGGGAACUGCAUUUGAAACUGGCAAGCUAGAGUCUCGUAGAGGGGGGUAGAAUUCCAGGUGUAGCGGUGAAAUGCGUAGAGAUCUGGAGGAAUACCGGUGGCGAAGGCGGCCCCCUGGACGAAGACUGACGCUCAGGUGCGAAAAGCGUGGGGAGCAAAACAGGAUUAGAUACCCUGGUAGUCCACGCUGUAAAACGAUGUCGAUUUUGGAGGUUGUGCCCUUGAGGCGUGGCUUCCGGAGCUAACGCGUUAAAUCGACCGCCUGGGGAGUACGGCCGCAAGGUUAAAACUC
Molecule: ribosomal RNA, 559 nt
Filed under: uncultured bacterium
Lineage: Bacteria
Description: partial 16S ribosomal RNA
Rfam family: Bacterial small subunit ribosomal RNA
Source: RNAcentral